AGUGAACGCUGGCGGUAGGCCUAACACAUGCAAGUCGAACGGCAGCACAGUAAGAGCUUGCUCUUACGGGUGGCGAGUGGCGGACGGGUGAGGAAUACAUCGGAAUCUACUUUUUCGUGGGGGAUAACGUAGGGAAACUUACGCUAAUACCGCAUACGACCUACGGGUGAAAGCAGGGGAUCUUCGGACCUUGCGCGAUUGAAUGAGCCGAUGUCGGAUUAGCUAGUUGGCGGGGUAAAGGCCCACCAAGGCGACGAUCCGUAGCUGGUCUGAGAGGAUGAUCGGCCACACUGGAACUGAGACACGGUCCAGACUCCUACGGGAGGCAGCAGUGGGGAAUAUUGGACAAUGGGCGCAAGCCUGAUCCAGCCAUACCGCGUGGGUGAAGAAGGCCUUCAGGUUGUAAAGCCCUUUUGUUGGGAAAGAAAAGCAGCAGGUUAAUACCCCGCUGUUCUGACGGUACCCAAAGAAUAAGCACCGGCUAACUUCGUG
Molecule: ribosomal RNA, 492 nt
Filed under: uncultured bacterium
Lineage: Bacteria
Description: partial 16S ribosomal RNA
Rfam family: Bacterial small subunit ribosomal RNA
Source: RNAcentral